GUGGAGCAGCAUUUCUGGCCACCAAAAUCCCUGCUUUCUUCUGAGACAAAAAAGAUAAGGUGGGCCCACCCGGCAGUGUCUGCUCCCCUCCGCACCCCGCAACGGCCAUGGCCUUCGCCGCCGUCCUCCGCGCCAGCCACCUCGCCGGGCUCCCCCCACCGUCCGCCUCCUCGCCGCCGCCAUUCUGCUCCACUCCAGCCUACGCCCACCUCCCACGCCUAAGAGUAGCAGCAGCGCGCGGCGUGCGGUGCCGGCGCCGGGGCCGCGUGGCCGCGGCGAUCACCGCGUCGCUCGACCUCACCGAGGACAAUGUCCGGCGGGUCCUCGUCGAAGCCAAAUCCGAGCUGGGACAGCUGUUCGAUACGUCGGUGGGCAUCACAGGGCAAGUUGAGCUCGCGGAGCUGGAUGGCCCGUUCGUCAAGCUCCGGCUUAAGGGCAAGUUCUGGCACACCCGCGCUACCGUGGUCGCGAGGAUCGGCAACUACCUCAAGAACCGCAUCCCGGAAGUCUUGGAGGUGGAGAUAGAGGACGAGAAACAGUUGGAUGAUAGCCCCGCGGCUUUCUGAGAUAUCCAAGAUUUGGAGGUACCUAUCCUUGCAUUAAAAACCUGCAAGAUACUGCUGAGGGGACCUACUUUUGGAGAAGUGUAGUGGUUUUUCUUUCUGGGAUCAUCAUCUUGUGUGUGAAAAAGGACGAGAAGACGUCUGCAUAUAUAAUCGCUCACAGAAUUAAUGGUCCUUCAUCGCGUCAUGGUAAUUCCAGUUUCAUUCCCAAUGACAGCGUAUGUGACACUUUUCUGUUCUGAAUUUCUGAUAUCUUAUUUCUGUCACUUUUUCCGGCACCUACUCCUUAUGUUUAUGCUCAUGAACUUGCUGAAAAUGAGUCGUGUUCCGUGUUGAGCUCUACAAUCAUGUGUUGAGCAUUUCUGUAUAUGAAUCCUUUCGGACCCAGUGUAACCCUGUGAAAACGGUAGCAGAUGGUUCCCCAUUGUCUUAACCACGAAACCCUGCAUCGAAAAUUCUUGUUGCUGCUUUUCUGGGCAUAGAUUUUAGCAUUCUUGUAAAAUGUUUAGGCAUCAGUGAACUAUAUAAAGAGCGAACACAUUACGUCU
This is an RNA transcript of Phragmites australis (common reed), 1111 nucleotides long. RefSeq lists it as uncharacterized. The record is from RefSeq and is a predicted model, not a curated record. NCBI's taxonomy places the organism in Eukaryota, Viridiplantae, Streptophyta, Magnoliopsida, Poales, Poaceae. The transcript has 6 exons.